CUCGUAAUCACUAUAGAGGCUCGCCAUCCUGGCAGCAGAACUGGGGUUCACCCAGAAGUAACCAAUUCAGGGUCAGGAUAGUCGAUAGCCCAACCACCGGGGAGAGGGGAGGAAGUAAAAAAGGGGGCUCACCCCUGGUAGACACUCUUAGUGAAUGUAUACCAAUAACAAUUCGGAAAGGAGCACCCUGCACUGAGUUAACAGUUAAGGGCUA
This is a non-coding RNA of Pelobates cultripes (western spadefoot toad), 214 nucleotides long. Lineage: Eukaryota; Metazoa; Chordata; Amphibia; Anura; Pelobatidae. The record is from the annotation of a GenBank genome assembly.